UGAUCUUUUGGGUCAGAAAGGACAAGUUUAGAGUUUCAUUUUUUUUUGUUUUUUGUUUUUUCCUUUCAGAAAACCCAAUCCAGGAAACAACCAAGAGGCCAAAUGACUUUCUCCUUACUGAUAAACAAGAGUAUCUUAAUUCUCUUCUUCUUGACACUGACCAGUUACACAGGCAUUUUCAUCAAUGCCCUUAGGUAUGGAACCAAUCAACCUUACUGUACAGCCUAUGCUUUUUUACCACCAUAUGUAUGCAGCAGAGAAAAUGAUCCUGUCUGUUCCUCAGAUGGCCAGAUAUAUGAUAAUGAAUGUAUUUUUUGCAGUGCUGUUAGGGAAAAUCCUAAGACAAUUAAAUUUAAGCACUUUGGUUACUGCUGACUCCUUGAUGUCACCUACAUUGCCCUGACUAGGAAGUCCUGGGACAUGGUUCACAACUCCUGAUCUUCUCACCUGGUGCCAGGAAAAGCACAAAUUUCUUUGACUCUUUACUGAAAUAUUGCAAGAAAAAUUGUUCUGUUUUUGCUUCUUUUCAAGAUUAAAUAGUUUUCCAAUCCACUUCCUCUAUAUCCCUGGAAUCUCUUUCAAAUAAGCAUGGAGAUUGCCCUUCAGGUGAAGGAUUCUUUCUUGUACAAGCUGUACGGGUCACAGCCUCACUGAUUCUCACUUUUUGAGUAGGUUGACAUAGGGUCCUCUUCCUCACUAGUACAAGCAAAAAGGGAAGUCAAUCUAACUAUGGAAUCCUAAAUAAAGCAUAUGAUCUCAGGGCCCUA
This 767-nucleotide long non-coding RNA is filed under the name Monodelphis domestica (gray short-tailed opossum). RNAcentral's name for it is "lncRNA (ENSMODG00000040080.1)". The record is from RNAcentral. Lineage: Eukaryota; Metazoa; Chordata; Mammalia; Didelphimorphia; Didelphidae.